Molecule: long non-coding RNA, 1483 nt
Organism: Eucalyptus grandis
Lineage: Eukaryota; Viridiplantae; Streptophyta; Magnoliopsida; Myrtales; Myrtaceae
Exons: 3
Source: RefSeq, a predicted model, not a curated record
UACUGAUGACUUGGUGACAGACUCAUUAGAUGAAAAACCUCUUCACUAGAUCCAAUGGACUGCAACAACAACGUUAAGCUAUCUGCCAACCUCCAAGUUGCAUAAAUCAUCCACUCACAGUACAAGAUAUACUUAAUUCUUCAGGGAAAAGCAGAAGUAUCGAUUUUGCCUUCCCUUGAUUUGAUUUGGCUGAUUUUUGGAUGACAGCUUCAGCCUACUACUAGAGGACUUCGAUCCAAUUUUUGGCUUUUUCUGGCCAGUUUUGGUGGUUUGGUUGAUCCUUCCACAAUUUUUGAGUUGAUUUCUAAGACACAAAGUCUGAGGGUUCAAUUGUAAGCUCUCCAACUAUACGAGAUGGCCAUAUAGAAUAUGUUACUUUUGCUACAGUCUAUGUGAAGCUUGACAGCACAAAUUAGUUGAUAUGGUCUCAAUCAGUAUUCUUGAGCAUUGGAUGCUGUGGGCUUGGGGAACAUAUGAACGGCACUUUUGUGAAGCCAGAUGCAUCAAGUACUACUCAGGACAAGUGGAUCUUGAAUGACUCUUUGGUAAAGUCUUUUUUGCUUAACUCGAUGUAACCACACAUUGCAAAAGGAUAUUUGCUUCUUGAUACUGCAGCACAGAUUUGGUUGGCUGCAAGGGAUACUUAUGGUCAACUCAGGAAUGAUAUAUAAGGGUAUAAACUUUCAAAAAUGGCUCAUAACACCACUCAGAAGGAGAUGAAUAUAUUUCAAUAUUAUGCUAAGCUUCGGCGUUUGUGGCAAGGGCUAGAUCAUUAUGCUGAUCAUCAACCAACCAAUGUUGUGAAUAUUGCUACCUACAAGAACCAUGUGGACAAGAUCAAAGUUUAUGAUUUCUCAGCAGGAUUGAAUGAUGAAUAUGAUCAGAUACGUGUUCAAGUCCUUAGCCAAUCUAAAUUCCCUAUUCUGGAAUAGUCCUAUGCCCUAGUUCACUCGGAAGAAAACCAUAGGACAGCAAUGCUCCAUCCCUCUACUAUCGAUCGAUCUGCUCUACAAACCAUUGCUGGCACUAUUACCAAAUCUGUUCCGUCCUCUCGAUUUGAUGAUACCUCUAAGAACUCUGUGAAGUGUGAACAUUGUUGUAGGCUGUAUCAUGCUAAGGCUAUUUGCUGGAAGUUACAAGGAAAACAUGCAGAUUUUGAAGCAAAAAGGGCACAAAGAAACAAAAAACAGGGAUCUGUUAAUGGAGAAGGAGAUUGGAUAUGGUAGAUUGGAUGGUGGUCUUUAUCUGCUGGAAGGUAGUGGGGUUUCUACUUUCACGCCUCACCGAGUUAAUUCAGCAUUAACAGAUCUCCAUUAGUGGCACUGCAGAUUAGAUCAUCCCCUUUAGGAACUUUGGAAAAAGUUUCUCCUAGUCUUGUUUCAAUCAGUAAUAAACAUAAGUUUUUUUGUGAAGCCUGUGUUUUGGCUAAAUAAACUCAUUCAAUAUAUCCAUCUUUAAAUAAUAAAAAUCGUUAUUCUUUUCA